CUUCUCUUCACUAAACUUUAGUUAGUAGUUGGUCCCAGUCAGUAACACUCUGGGAGGGCUCAGGCCACAUCACGAAAUGUGACAGGAUAGCCUUGAACUCAUCAAUUGCUGGGGGCACCUCAAACUCAACUCCAAAAUUGAUCUAAUGAACUUUCCCAAACCACAUUCCCUUCUUGCAUUUCUGAGAGAAUGGAUUCCCAUUCAUCUGACUACAGUGCUACCCUGAAAGCAGAUCCAGAGACUAAGAUUCACCUGCAGGUGAUUCAUUUGCAAGGUAAGCUGUCAUCAGUUGGAGGUAAGCGGAAGACAGUAGAGAGUACAGAGCCCUGGACUGUGACUCAGAGGAUGAGCACCAGAUCCAGUUUGCUGUGCCACAGUGUCCUGAAGAUUUUCCUCAGAUAAUCUUUCAUCUCUUUGUUCCUGAGACUAUAUAUUAGAGGAUUACAGAGUGGUGUUAUCACAGAAAAGAACAAGUGGAUUUUUAUCUGAGAUCUACAACUUAUGAAGAAUACAAAUGAUGUAUAUUCUUUUCUACUCUUCAUGUAUGGACUAGAGGGGCUUGCACAUAAGAAAAAAAUGGCUGAGACCCACAGGAACAAAGAAACAGGACAGGAGUUAGAUGCAGAGAAGAGAUUUCAACAAAAGUUUGGAAAAGAUGCUAACGGUAGCAUAUGAGUCACAGACAGAACAUUGGCACCUUUGUUUAAGAAACUGAAUGUUAAUGUCACAUCUGCCUUUGGAGAUUACAAAUGAAAUGGCUACCUUUCUACUGGAACCCUGACCAGAAGUCUGCCAGUUAGUAAGCUGGCUUAAGAGAUCAAUCUAAAAUUUACAUAAGGCUUUUGAAAAAAAGAAAAAAACUCAAGAGAAUUGACAUCUGGUGUUAAAAAACAAAAAAUCAUACAAAUGACUGAUAUGUAUCAUUUUCCUUAUUAAAUAUGGAAGAAAGGGGAGGAGGAUGCAGAAAUGGUUGGCUAAAAGCUCCAGAGAAAAACUUAACAGAUUUUAUGAUUUUGCGGAAGUGUGUCAUCAUGGCCAGAAACUGAUCAAUCCACGAAUUAGCUGAAAUGGCAAGAACGAUUAGAGAUACAGUGAGGAGGGUCUCGAGUUCCUCUGAGCCUGAUGAUGAGCCAGGACAGGAAGGGGCCUGGGCCUCCAGGCAGCAGCAUCUCUCCAGGAUGCCCCCAGCCACAGCAUAAGGAAUUCCUACACUUUUGUUAUCUUAAACAAAACCUUCUAGAAUUCCUUCUAACUCUAGGAGACUGAAAUGUAUUUUUCUUUCUUUCAACUGUCUCCUGUCUGUCCCUGACUCCCUCACUCCGUUUUUUAAUGUUUGGCCAUUUAUCUCAUGAGCUUACUAAAAAUAAAUUGUAUACUCAGCAAUG
RNAcentral lists this long non-coding RNA (1385 nucleotides) under Homo sapiens (human). Its description in RNAcentral is "HSALNT0379765". Lineage: Eukaryota; Metazoa; Chordata; Mammalia; Primates; Hominidae. The record is from RNAcentral.